AAGAUGUUCAGUGGCCCAUCUGAGAGCGUGCUGGCUGUUCUUGUCCUUGUCUAUAGCAACUGCAACCAACCCAUUUCCUCCUGGCUUGGGCUGAUGGUGAUGGUGAUGAUGAUGAUGAUGAUGCGAAUGCCCUUGCGGUUAAUACCCUUUUCCCGGAGCAUCUCCAUUGUUGGGUCUUUCUAUCUUUCAGAUCAAAUGAUAAUUAAACGCGGGAUUAUACCAAAUAGUUGGUGGGCGAAAUAGGGCGAGAAUAUGUACCACAGAAAAGGAGAAGUUAGGCUGCUCUCCGAUCGGCCGGCCUCUCGGCGCGUAUUUAGACGAAGACAUGCAAAGAAUAGAGGGUGGCGAGGAGAGAUUCUGGAGUUCAACCAUGAUUUACGGCGAAGCCCAAGCCUCUGUUGGUUUUCGGUUUGCUACAAUUACGGACGCUCACCCAACUAUUUAUAUCAUAAAUUCCUAAAAAAUUGAGGCUUUCAAGUUCA
Diospyros lotus (date-plum) is the source of this 482-nucleotide long non-coding RNA. RefSeq lists it as uncharacterized. NCBI's taxonomy places the organism in Eukaryota, Viridiplantae, Streptophyta, Magnoliopsida, Ericales, Ebenaceae. The record is from RefSeq and is a predicted model, not a curated record. The transcript has 2 exons.